RNAcentral lists this transfer RNA (72 nucleotides) under Camelus bactrianus (Bactrian camel). It matches the Rfam family "tRNA". Rfam says of the family: Transfer RNA (tRNA) molecules are approximately 80 nucleotides in length. RNAcentral also lists the same sequence under 2 other names. The record is from Rfam by way of RNAcentral. Lineage: Eukaryota; Metazoa; Chordata; Mammalia; Artiodactyla; Camelidae.
GAAGGUAUAGCUCAGUGGUAGAGUGUGUGCUUAGCACGCACGAAGUCCUGGGUUCAAUCCCCAGUACCUUCA